GUGAAUCAUCGAAUCUUUGAACGCAUAUUGCACUCUCUGGUAUUCCGGAGAGUAUGCAUGUUUGAGGGUAAUUAAAAAGAAUCUUUAACCAAUUUUUUUGGUGAAAGGAUAUGAGUUAUCCGCGUUUAUAGCGGUAGCUUGAAAUAAAUGGUCAAGUAUCAUUUUAGUCGAGACGCGUAAUAAUAUUAUUUCGCGAAAUCUACAUUAUGUGACAAUCAAGUUUUGACGUAUAAAAAUUUGGUUUGUUUGCGAUAAAUACAAAUAUUUUGAACAUUACCUCAAAUCAGGCAGGAGUACCCG
RNAcentral lists this unclassified non-coding RNA (300 nucleotides) under Ambisporaceae sp. RNAcentral describes it as "partial contains 5.8S ribosomal RNA and internal transcribed spacer 2". The stretch from base 1 to 71 matches the Rfam family "5.8S ribosomal RNA", at positions 84 to 154 of the family's 154-position model. Lineage: Eukaryota; Fungi; Glomeromycota; Glomeromycetes; Archaeosporales; Ambisporaceae. The record is from RNAcentral.